CCUUGUCGCUCAGAGGUUAAAGCAUCUGCCUGCAAUGCAGGAGACCUGGGUUUGAACCCUGGGUAAGGA
Molecule: transfer RNA, 69 nt
Filed under: Ovis aries (sheep)
Lineage: Eukaryota; Metazoa; Chordata; Mammalia; Artiodactyla; Bovidae
Rfam family: tRNA
About the family: Transfer RNA (tRNA) molecules are approximately 80 nucleotides in length.
Source: Rfam by way of RNAcentral